This 822-nucleotide ribosomal RNA is filed under the name uncultured Neocallimastigales. Its description in RNAcentral is "partial large subunit ribosomal RNA". Lineage: Eukaryota; Fungi; Neocallimastigomycota; Neocallimastigomycetes; Neocallimastigales. The record is from RNAcentral.
UACGACUACAUAUCAGGCAUAUCAAUAAGCGGAGGAAAAGUUCAAGGAGGCGGCUGAAGCCUACGAGGUGUUGUCAGAUACCGAUAAGCGGGCUAAGUACGACCGGUAUGGUUUUGCCGGUGUAGACCCCAAUUAUGGUGGCGGCGGUGGCUCCGGUUUUGAGGGCUUUGGCGGUUUUGGCGGCUUUGGCGGUUUUGGUGGCUUUGGCGAUAUUUUCAGCGAAGUGUUCGGCGGCGGCAGUAGCCGUCGCACCCAAAAUGCACCCCGUCGGGGUGAGGAUGUGGGUGUUCGUAUCGAAAUAACCUUCGAAGAAGCCGCUUUUGGCGCAGAAAAAGAAAUCGAAUACUACCGCAUUGAAAACUGCGGCAAUUGUAACGGCACCGGCAGUGCCGAUGGCGCGGUGGAAAACUGCGGCCGCUGUGGCGGUGCCGGUCAGGUGCGUGUUACCCAAAAUAUGAUGGGCAUGGCAUUCCAGAGCACAACCACCUGCCCCAACUGUUCCGGCCGGGGCAAAAUCAUCAAAAGGCCCUGCGCUACCUGCCGGGGUAAGGCGAAGGUGCGCAAAAAGCAUACCUGCAAAACAAAAGUUCCCUCCGGUAUCAACCAUGGCCAGAGCUACCCUUGCCGGGGCGAAGGCUGUGUGGGCAGCAACGGUGGCCCCUACGGUGACUUGCUGGUAGAGGUAUCCAUCCGUCAGCAUCCCAUUUUUGAACGGGAGGGCUAUGACGUAUUGUGCGAAGUUCCCAUUUCUUUCACCCAGGCGGCUCUGGGUGCUGAAAUCGAAGUACCUACGCUUAGGAUGUUGACGCGCGUGUGUGCGUG